GGGAAGUCGAUAAAAGUUGACAUAAACUAGAGAUCGUAAACAACAAAUAUGUCCUAAUAAGGGAAUAUAAAUUUUCCAAUAUGGCAUUCUCUGCCUGUGUUUUGCUCAAGUGUUCUUUUCACAAUCCCCUGAUAAGCCUAUGUCUAGUAUGACAUGCAGCCACCUGAAUCCCAUGAAUCAGGUGAUAGAGCUGGGAGGUCAAGGAUUAAAUUUUCCUGUUAUCUUCGCACUCAUUUUAUCUUGACCAAGAAAACUAUACAGUGAUGUGAGAAGACCAUUAGCAAUCAUUGAGAGCUUUGAUUUUUUCCCAGUUUCUAUUGAACCAGCAGUCAUUGUACUCAAAUCUCUUCCACACAUAUAAUAGCAAGCAAAAAGAACAAGAUUGGUAAUCACAGAAUUCAUAGAAAUGGUACAGUGUAGAAACACUGUUCCUUUCAUUUCAUGAUUCGUUUGAGUACAUCAAUGAAACAAAGCAUUACAACGAGCAGAAUAAUCGCAAAUAAAGAGGAAAUAACAACAGCAUAUCCCUCCACCCCAGAAUUUUUCAUGUUAUGAAUCUGCUCUUUAAUGUCAGGCCACAUCACGUAUGCGAGAAACCCAUACCCAAUUAUUACAAUCAGGUUUAGUAUCAGAGGACGGCUAUUCCCCUCCUUUGUAUUGUUCCCCAUCGCUCUCUCCAAUUCGAAAAUGGAAUCGUAGACACAAAUUUGAAGGAAAUUAGCAAAGCAGAAUUCACCAGAUGCAGAAAUAUCAAGAUUUAUGGCAUUUUUGGAAAAAUCAAGGAUGAAUUUUUAUGAAAUACACGAAAUUUAAGCUCACCUAUCGGAAGAAUCGAAGGAAUGUGGCCUCUUUUUUCAGCCUUCACCCUCAAAGCUUCUUGGAGAAACCCCAGCAAUUUUCUCACUUAAUAUGGGGCUUGGGCAUCUUGGCCCAAUCUGAAAAAGUGGGUAUUUCCGACCCAAUCAUUCCCACCAGGCAACGAACAUGAUCCUUCUUCUUCUUCUUC
RNAcentral lists this unclassified non-coding RNA (1006 nucleotides) under Hevea brasiliensis (rubber tree). The record is from RNAcentral. Lineage: Eukaryota; Viridiplantae; Streptophyta; Magnoliopsida; Malpighiales; Euphorbiaceae.